GAAUUGAUCAGUUGCCUUUAAACACUAAAAGGUUUGAUUCUAUGGUCUUGAAAGAAAAAUGCUUUCCUCUAUUUGUUUAGCUGUCUUAGUUACGCUACCGAUUACACAAGGAGGUAUUUUACAAAAUGCUGUAAAUGAUAUAAGCCAAAAAACUACCGAAAAAUGCAAAAUACAUAUUGACGAUCGGCACCUCGUCCGAUGUGAUGUAGAUCCAGUUACAGAUUUUGUUCCUACAGGAGCUUUGUGUACCUACAUAAGUGACGGUGGACUACACUAUGAUGAUCCAGUAGAAACAUUUGUAUGUGAUCAGGGAUUUUUCGUCAACCUGCAUCACAGAAGUACAGGCAAGUACUAACCAUUUUCAUGCACUUUUUUAAUCAUUCUACAUAGUGCAUGAUUUAUCAUAUAGAUGGCAAAAGAUAUUAUUCAUACCUUUAAAAAUCGGGUUACUGGUUUUCUUUUGCAGAGUCUGGAAAAUAAAUGAAUGUCCUCAAUGACUGAUUUAAACACUAUUUAACAUGGGAGAAAAAGAGAAGAAUAUUAAGUUUAAUAUUGUAAAGUGUCUGUCCUUAAAUGCAUUGAUGACAAAGGCUUAAUUUUUUGUCUUGGACAAAUUAUUUUUCAUUAGUUGUUAUUGGCUUUGAACUACCUUUCAGUAACUGCGAGUACUCUCAGAUCGAGACUUUGUGUCUUUAGUAAUUUUAUUUG
This is a long non-coding RNA of Mytilus californianus (California mussel), 708 nucleotides long. RefSeq lists it as uncharacterized. The record is from RefSeq and is a predicted model, not a curated record. The transcript has 3 exons. NCBI's taxonomy places the organism in Eukaryota, Metazoa, Mollusca, Bivalvia, Mytilida, Mytilidae.